Molecule: transfer RNA, 76 nt
Filed under: Gammaproteobacteria bacterium
Lineage: Bacteria; Pseudomonadati; Pseudomonadota; Gammaproteobacteria
Description: tRNA-Asn
Rfam family: tRNA
About the family: Transfer RNA (tRNA) molecules are approximately 80 nucleotides in length. Their secondary structure includes four short double-helical elements and three loops (D, anti-codon, and T loops).
Source: RNAcentral
UCCGGCUUAGCUCAGUUGGUAGAGCAAUUGACUGUUAAUCAAUGGGUCGCUGGUUCGAGUCCAGCAGCCGGAGCCA